This 1205-nucleotide long non-coding RNA is filed under the name Homo sapiens (human). Its description in RNAcentral is "HSALNT0314031". Lineage: Eukaryota; Metazoa; Chordata; Mammalia; Primates; Hominidae. The record is from RNAcentral.
AAUACAUGUACCUCAAUAAUUUUAUCAAGGGCAUGUUUUGUGCUAGAUACUACUCUUUAUGUUAGGAAUAUAAGCAAUUGUAUAAGAUACUUACAGAUUGCAGUAAGUGGUAAAAAAUAUAACAUGAAGAGGGAAUAGUGAUGAGAAGGUAACUAUAUAGGGGAGUGGUCAGGGAGUGCUUCACUGAAGAUGUAAAAUAUGAACUGAAACCUAUAUCCUGAUUUAAAAUAGCUUUGCAGAUGUUUUAGGUAAAUAGCAGCAAGCGAACAAUACCAAAGUUUUUAUUUUUGUAAUUUGAAAUCAAUGUGCAAGCCAGAGCUUCUUUAGGAAAGACCAUUCCUGAGAGAACAACAGGAAGAAAUAUGAAUGUUAAACAUGUGGUGCCGUGUGGAAGCAAAGCUCCAUAAUUAAUCUAUAGAGCCAUCACCACUGUCAAAAGCAGAAAGGCCCCAGAGGAAAUAAUUUUUGUAUAGAAUGAUGGCAGCAUUAGUGACAGCAGUAAUGAUAAGACACUGAAAAAGGGAAUCAGAGCUAUUUCCAUGAAUUAAUGUCUUAAUCCCCACAACAAUGAGGUCGUGGUCAUCUAGUUGUAGAAUGACUCCUGCCUGCUACAUUUCCCCAGAUACCCAGGACCUUCAUGCUGUCACUCUCCAUGACCUGACCAACAUCUAUUUUGAGAAAUUAUUUUAUAUACUCAUUCAAACAGUCAUCUUUUGUGUCCAGAGUUGGUUCCUUCUGGUGGGUUCGUGGUCUCGCUAACUUCAAGAAUGGAGCCACGGACCUUCGCGACACUUCUAUUUAAACUUCUUGGAAGGAUAUCUCAAUAACAUUCCUUUGCUGAGGACCAUAAGAUAGAAGAUGAGAAUCCAUCUGCCCUCUUCUCUGCACCCAGGCUUCAAUCCUGUUUGAUCAUGCAGGGGCUACAAGGCCUUCGACACAAAGAACUUGUCUUAGAUUCUAAUCAGUUUAACAAAUAGGACAGACAGCUGCUGAGCACUGUCUGAGUGACACUGAUUUACAUACAAAUGAACCACCAAUGUCCCCUUCUAUCAACUCAGAAUAAAAUCUGGUUUUAGCAUAUGCAGUCCUACGAGACAUGGUUAAAGGAUAUGAAUGAUAGAUAGAGAUAAAAGAAAUCAAGGACCAUUCCUCCACAAGUCUCCAAAGAGGAAAACAACAAUCGAAGAAAAAAGAGUGAGAGAACA